This 163-nucleotide ribosomal RNA is filed under the name uncultured bacterium. RNAcentral describes it as "partial 16S ribosomal RNA". It matches the Rfam family "Bacterial small subunit ribosomal RNA", at positions 355 to 509 of the family's 1533-position model. The record is from RNAcentral.
UAGGGAAUCUUCCACAAUGGGCGAAAGCCUGAUGGAGCAACGCCGCGUGAGUGAAGAAGGUUUUCGGAUCGUAAAGCUCUGUUGUUGGUGAAGAAGGAUAGAGGUAGUAAACUGGCCCCUAUUUGACGGUAAUCAACCAGAAAGUCACGGCUAACUACGUGCC